GAUCAAGUGUCAAAAGGGCAUUUGGUGGAUGCCUUGGCAUGCACAGGCGAUGAAGGACGUGAUACGCUGCGAUAAGUCAUGGGGAGCUGCGAAUAAGCUUUGAUCCGUGAAUUUCCGAAUGGGGCAACCCACCUUCGAUCCCUGUUAAGUCGAAACUGCUGAGCUGGCCGAGCCGACCGUUGUGCGUGUUGUCCGAAAGGGCGCGCGGCAGCCGUAGGCCGACCGGCCGUCGGGCCUUAUGGCCCGCCCUCGCGGAGCCGAUUGCUGCAAGCAAUCCGGCGUGAGCGCUUUCGAUUAACAGGGGUCAGUGAAGGUAUCUAACCUUGAAUACAUAGGGGUUAGAAGCGAACUCGGGGAACUGAAACAUCUCAGUACCCGAAGGAAAGGACAUCAACCGAGACUCCGUCAGUAGCGGCGAGCGAACGCGGACCAGGCCAGUGGCCUCAUAUGAGAGAAGCCGAACACGUUGGAAAGCGUGGCGAGAUUGGGUGAUAGCCCCGUAGGCGCAAGGCUCUUUGAGGUCCUCGAGUAGGGCGGGACACGUGAAAUCCUGUCUGAACAUGGGGCGACCACGCUCCAAGCCUAAGUACUCGUGCAUGACCGAUAGCGAACCAGUACCGUGAGGGAAAGGUGAAAAGCACCCCGACAAGGGGAGUGAAAGAGAACCUGAAACCGAAUGCCUACAAACAGUGGAAGCCCGCAAGGGUGACCGCGUACCUUUUGUAUAAUGGGUCAGCGACUUAGUCUGGCGAGCGAGCUUAAGCCGAUAGGUGUAGGCGCAGCGAAAGCGAGUCUGAACAGGGCGUUCAGUUCGUCGGAUUAGACCCGAAACCGAGUGAUCUAGCCAUGAGCAGGCUGAAGGUGCGGUAACACGCACUGAAGGGCCGAACCCUCAUCUGUUGCAAUAGAUUGGGAUGACUUGUGGCUAGGGGUGAAAGGCCAAUCAAACUCGGAAAUAGCUGGUUCUCCGCGAAAUCUAUUUAGGUAGAGCGUCGGACUUAUUCUCCAGGGGGUAGAGCACUGGAUGGGCUAUGGGGACUCACCGUCUUACUGAUCCUAACCAAACUCCGAAUACCUGGAAGAACUAUCCGGCAGACACACGGCGGGUGCUAACGUCCGUCGUGAAGAGGGCAACAACCCUGACCACCAGCUAAGGUCCCCAAGUUAUGGCUAAGUGGGAAAGGAUGUGAAGUUUCCAAAACAACCAGGAUGUUGGCUUAGAAGCAGCCAUCAUUUAAAGAAAGCGUAACAGCUCACUGGUCUAAGUAAGAGACUUUGCGCCGAAAAUGUACCGGGGCUCAAGCCAUACACCGAAGCUGUGGAUUCAUCUUUCGAGAUGAGUGGUAGCGGAGCGUUCCGUAGGCCUGUGAAGGAGGACCCGUGAGGGCCUCUGGAGG
RNAcentral lists this non-coding RNA (1397 nucleotides) under Aurantimonas sp. 22II-16-19i. RNAcentral describes it as "Bacterial large subunit ribosomal RNA". It matches the Rfam family "Bacterial large subunit ribosomal RNA", at positions 1 to 1279 of the family's 2925-position model. Lineage: Bacteria; Pseudomonadati; Pseudomonadota; Alphaproteobacteria; Hyphomicrobiales; Aurantimonadaceae. The record is from Rfam by way of RNAcentral.